AGACGGCCUUGGCUGGAUUAGCUUUUCCGGGCAACGCUAUUGCAACAGUUGAACUGGGUUUUCAAAGCCUCGCCUCCCCCACUCCUGGAGCAUCUGUGGGUCUGACUCCCUGAGCCGGCGGGGCCUCCCACGGCAGCUCCCAUGGCCCACCGGGGGUACUUUUCAUCGUGCCCUGAUCCAGAGACGGGACCCUUAACCUGCCCCACAUUCCCGAGGGCGUGCGAAGGGUUUGGCCAACAGAUUGAGGUGGAAGAGAUGGUGUGCGAGUUCUCAGCCCCGGCCUUUCGUGUUUCCAUGGCAGAGUGAAGCCACCAAGAGCGCCGGGCUUACAUCUUUUAUUCCAGAGAGCGUCAGACUGAGCAGGACUUAGCUUGGACUCCACAUCCCAGGGGAAGGAGGCUGAGGGGCCCAGCUUGUGUCUGGAGCUCCCCUGGGACCAGCCAAAGGAAGACGUCUCGUGAUAAUGAUCCGUGGUGUUUCCUCAACCUCCGUGAAUAUGCUACAAGCCACUGAAUGGUGCACUUUGAGUGCAGGCGCUGUAUGGAAUGUGAGCGAUUUCUCAAUA
Molecule: non-coding RNA, 565 nt
Organism: Leptonychotes weddellii (Weddell seal)
Lineage: Eukaryota; Metazoa; Chordata; Mammalia; Carnivora; Phocidae
Source: RefSeq, a predicted model, not a curated record